This 148-nucleotide non-coding RNA is filed under the name Gorilla gorilla gorilla (western lowland gorilla). Lineage: Eukaryota; Metazoa; Chordata; Mammalia; Primates; Hominidae. The record is from Rfam by way of RNAcentral.
GCCAGGCAUGGUUGUGCAUGCCUGUAAUCCCAGCUACUCAGGAGGCUGAGACAGGAGAAUCACUUGAACCCGGGAGGCAGAAGUUGCAGUGAGCGGAGAUCAAGCCACUGCACUCCAGCCUGGGCGACAGAGUGAGACUCUGUCUCAA